Molecule: ribosomal RNA, 773 nt
Filed under: uncultured Neocallimastigales
Lineage: Eukaryota; Fungi; Neocallimastigomycota; Neocallimastigomycetes; Neocallimastigales
Description: partial large subunit ribosomal RNA
Rfam family: Eukaryotic large subunit ribosomal RNA
Source: RNAcentral
AUCUCUGUAGAGUCUGCAUAUCAAUAAGCGGAGGAAAAGAAACUAACUAGGAUUCCCUUAGUAACGGCGAGUGAAGCGGGAAGAGCUCAAAUUUGAAAUCUUCAAGGUUCUACCUUGACGAAUCGUAGUUUAAAGAAGUGUUUUCUGUUGGAGUUUUGGUAAAAGUUCUUUGGAAUAGGACAUCAUAGAGGGUGAGAAUCCCGUAUUUGACCAUUUCUUCCAGCUGUGUGAUACACUUUCAAAGAGUCGGAUUGUUUGGGAAUGCAGUCCAAAAUGGGUGGUAAAUUUCAUCUAAAGCUAAAUAUUGGCGAGAGACCGAUAGCGAACAAGUACCGUGAGGGAAAGAUGAAAAGAACUUUGAAAAGAGAGUUAAACAGUACGUGAAGUUGUCAAAAGGGAAGCGUUUGACACCAGUGUUGUUUUCUCGAAAAUCAAUUAAAAAUGGCCGGAUUUUGUGUUGUAUUGACUUUAUCAGCUUUCUGCACUUUUUUCUUGUCUUUUUUAAUGCACUUUUCGUUUAACAAGUCAACAUCAAUUUCUUUUGUUGUAAAAGAGUCAUUGGAAGGUGGCUUUCACUUCGGUGAAAGUGUUUAUAGCCUUUGACUUCUGCAAUCGGAGAGAUUGAGGUCUGCAGCGUAGAUCCUUCGGGGUUAGAUACAUUUGUGCUAAGUUAUAGUUUUUCAUAGACAACAUGUUGACUAUGAUUAAUCAUGUAGCUUACUCGCUUAUGCUAUUUUACCUACGCUUAGGAUGUUGAAUCUGUGCGAGACUAC